Molecule: long non-coding RNA, 371 nt
Organism: Mytilus californianus (California mussel)
Lineage: Eukaryota; Metazoa; Mollusca; Bivalvia; Mytilida; Mytilidae
Exons: 3
Source: RefSeq, a predicted model, not a curated record
UGCUAUUUAGUACAAGAUUAGCAGUUGUAUUGGUAUAUACCACAUUAGUGUUGGGAAUUCAUAGAAGAAAUAAUAUAAGAGACACAGAAAUUAGCGAAGAAUGUAACCAAUUGAUUCAAAGUCCUGAAAUAGAUGAUAGUACAAUAACCAGAGAAGAAAUGAUAUGUCUGUUCUGGUCAUCUGGUAAUUCAAAGGAAGUUGCGGAAGACAUGGCUGACAAGGCUCUCUUAGAAGGUGAUACAAAUGGCAACGGAGCGAUCGAUGGUGAUGAAGAAUUUUAAUAAAGAUCGAUAUGCAUACGUUUGAUUGAAUGGAUCACAGGCAUCAAUUAGAAAUAUGUGUCAUCUGAAUACUUGUUCAAUAAAACAGAU